CAACUACAUAUAGCACAAGGUGUCCGUUCGGACUUAAUAGGGAAUCCCGUGUGAAUCGGGAGCGGUCCCGCCGCUGUGACCGGGGACAAGCUUCGCAAAAUGCCACUUCACCGCAAGAUCGGUGGGGGAAGGCGCGGAGGGCGAAUGAUCCGGGAGUCAGAAUACCUGCCUUGAGAGUGCGUCAUUU
Molecule: non-coding RNA, 187 nt
Filed under: Desulfobacteraceae bacterium
Lineage: Bacteria; Pseudomonadati; Thermodesulfobacteriota; Desulfobacteria; Desulfobacterales; Desulfobacteraceae
Source: RNAcentral